GUGGGGAAUUUUGGACAAUGGGGGCAACCCUGAUCCAGCAAUGCCGCGUGCAGGAAGAAGGCCUUCGGGUUGUAAACUGCUUUUGUACGGAACGAAAAGGCUCUGGUUAAUACCUGGGGCACAUGACGGUACCGUAAGAAUAAGCACCGGCUAACUACGUGCCAGCAGCCGCGGUAAUACGUAGGGUGCAAGCGUUAAUCGGAAUUACUGGGCGUAAAGCGUGCGCAGGCGGUGCUGUAAGACAGGCGUGAAAUCCCCGGGGUUAACCUGGGAAUGGCGCUUGUGACUGCAGUGCUGGAGUGUGGCAGAGGGGGAUGGAAUUCCGCGUGUAGCAGUGAAAUGCGUAGAUAUGCGGAGGAACACCGAUGGCGAAGGCAAUCCCCUGGGCCUGCACUGACGCUCAUGCACGAAAGCGUGGGGAGCAAACAGGAUUAGAAACCCCGGUAGUCC
RNAcentral lists this ribosomal RNA (450 nucleotides) under uncultured bacterium. RNAcentral describes it as "partial 16S ribosomal RNA". It matches the Rfam family "Bacterial small subunit ribosomal RNA", at positions 354 to 796 of the family's 1533-position model. The record is from RNAcentral.